This is an RNA transcript of Sander lucioperca (pikeperch), 4409 nucleotides long. It is a transcript of the gene named protein phosphatase 1 regulatory subunit 12A, with no coding region annotated. NCBI's taxonomy places the organism in Eukaryota, Metazoa, Chordata, Actinopteri, Perciformes, Percidae. The transcript has 25 exons. The record is from RefSeq and is a predicted model, not a curated record.
GCUUCGGUUCCAGUUUGUCUCCACCAGGGGGCACAGCCCGGGGCAGACUCAACCGAAACCAACCACUCCGCUUCUCUUCGUACCAUGAGCUGAAUCUGUCCGGGACAGACCAGGGAAGAUGGCGGCUACUGACCAUUCCCGGUCCGAAGCUGCCAAACAGCGACGGCAGGAUCAGCUGCAGCGAUGGCUGGGCUCAGAGACGGAUCGGACGGGAUUGGAGGCCCGGGAAACUUCGAGCGGUUCCGGGACGCGGCGGGCGAAAGUCCGGUUCGCACAAGGAGCCGUGUUUAUGGCUGCCUGCUCCGCCGGAGACCGGGAGGAAGUGGCAGCGCUACUCCGGCAGGGAGCUGACAUCAACCACGCCAACAUAGAUGGACUGACAGCGCUUCAUCAGGCCUGCAUUGAUGAAAAUGCUGAGAUGGUGCAGUUUCUCGUGGAGAGCGGGAGUGAUGUCAACAGAGGGGACAACGAGGGCUGGACUCCGCUGCACGCUGCAGCCUCCUGUGGCUUCAUCCAGAUCGCUAAAUACCUGAUAGAGCAUGGCGCUCACGUCGGGGCGGUGAACAGUGAAGGAGAGCUUCCUCUGGACGUGGCCACGGAAGACGUCAUGGUGAGACUUCUCAAAGGGGAAAUCAAAAAACAAGCAAUAGACGUGGACAACGCCAGGAAGGAAGAGGAGAGGGUCAUGCUCCAGGAUGCCAUGGCAGUGCUGGCAGGAGGUGGCACCCUCACACCUCACCCAAAUACCAAGGCAACCGCUCUGCACGUUGCCGCUGCCAAAGGCUACAUUGAAGUCCUGAAGGUGCUGUUACAGUGUGGGGUGGAUGUGGACAGCAGGGACAUUGACGGGUGGACGCCCCUGCAUGCAGGAGCUCACUGGGGGCAGGAGGAAGUGUGCUCCCUGCUGGCUGACAACAUGUGUGAUAUGGGUGCCGUCAACAAUGUGGGCCAAACACCUCUGGAUGUAGCAGAUGAGAACCUGACGGACACUCUGGAGGAGCUGCAGAAGAAGCAGAACGCUUUACGCAGCGAGAAAGAGAAACAGACUCCUGUUAUUGGGACCAGCCCGCAAAUCUCCAUGGUACCAGUUCGCACACGCAGGACUUCUAUCUCUCGUAUGAGCAGUAAGGAGAAGAUCUGCCUCCACGAGCGAGAGAAGCACCCACCUCCUGCCCUGCAGAGCAGCCCGGCCGAGGAUGAUGAGGAGGAAGGCCAGACGGGGCAGAGCCAGGGGAAGGCCUCCAGCAGCUCCAGCUCGGAGGAAGAGAGCGAAUCGGAGAGCGACGCAGAGUCGGAGAAAGCAAAAAACCGAGAGAUAAUAAACAACUUGAACAAUAAACGCAAUGCCACCAGCCUGCUUCCUACCUCCAUGUCAACGAGUACUGCCGCAAGCCAAGUGAAAAAGCAGGACCCAGGCAAGCCCCCAGCCUCCGAGGCCCCGGUCUCCUGGAGAACUUCUCUGAGAAAGGCAGGCAGCUCGGUGACUCUGGGCUCAGCUGGACUGUCUGACCCCAGCCAAGACCCCAGCAGACCUCCAGAGACUGUUGUGGGCAUGACCCGCUCUGCCUCCAGCCCCCGCCUCAGCUCUGAGGCCGACACCAAGGAGCCGAGGCUCGCUCGGGUACCGCCCAUCCCUACACGGAGACUCUUAAGUAUUCCAGACAACAGCCCUGACAACUCCAACAGUUGGCUAAGUCGUAGCUCCUCUUACACCCGGCGCCUUCAUAGUCAAUCAGGGAAUGAUCUCACUAGUUCCACCCCCUCUUUGCUACACAGCUCAUCUUAUGGAAAGAGACUGGAUGACCCCACUGUGACCUCAGCUAGCACAGGAACAAGCUCUGCUGGACUCAGCCGCCUUAAUAGUAUCUUGGCCCAGAGACUUCCUCAGGAACAGACAGAAAAGAAGGAUCAGUCUGCCGUCACCACCUCCCACUCUCGGAGCACGGCCACAGGCGAACAGGAGGCCAAGCAGAGGCGCAAAUCGUAUCUGACGCCAGUGCGGGACGAGGAGGCAGAGGCACAGAGGAAGGCUCGCUCCAGACACGCACGGCAGUCCCGGCGCUCCACUCAGGGAGUGACGCUUACAGAUCUGCAGGAGGCAGAGAAGACAAUGAAGACGGACAACAAGGGGAGAGAGAAGAAGGAGGAGGAAGAGAAGGAAAAAGAGAAGGAGGCAAAAGCGAAGAAGGGAGAGGAGGGGGAAGUGAGCUGGAGGUCUCGUAUUGCCAGUCUGCAGAAGUCUGACCUGCUGGGCCUCACACAGCCCGCCGGCACUCCACGCCCUCAGACAUCUGACAGGAGAGAUGUUGAGGCCAGCACAGGGGAGAGCGAAACAGAGCGAUGGGCCAGGGAGCGCAGGGAGAGGAGACAAGCUCGGGCCAGAAGGAAGGCACAGAGGACCGGGGAGAGUGAUGACAAUGAUCCCAGUGGAGAGGAAGAGUUUUCAGGCAGUGGGCUGGAUACACAGACAGACCAACGCUUGAGUUCCAGGUAUGAACUCAAGCUCUUUCUUUAUUCUGUCAGCAGAGUCUCAAUGAUAGCGGUGUCUCUGACCUCUGCUCUGCUCGUCUACUCAGGCCCUUUAACGACUGCACCCAGGGAGACGGCUCUGACACCAAUGAUUUUAAGAAGUUGUUCGAGGAGGUCUCCAGAGAAAACAGCCAGCUCCAGUCUCAGCUGCAGGACACCCAGAGGAUUAUCAGUCAGACCAGGUUGGACCUGGAAAAGGCCACACAGAGGCAGGAGCGCUUCACUGACUGUUCAGCCUUGCUGGAGCUGGAAAGAAAGGUAAUGCAUCCCAGCUGAUGGUGUUACCUGUUGUUGUUGUUGUUGUUGUUGUUGUUGUUGUUGUAGCUUCAUCUGCCUCACUACUGCCACCCCUGCUGUCUGUUGACGCUCUCUCCUCCCCACUUGAACCACUUUCUUAACCUGUUUUCACUCACCUUUUGUGGUCCGUCUUCCUCUCUACAUCACCUCCUUUCUGCCCCCCCACUCUCCCUCACGUUUCCCUGACAUCAGGACCGGAGGAUGUUGGAGCGUCGAAUGGCAGAGCUGGAGGAGGAGCUAAAGUAAUACAGAAUGAAUAGGUUCUGGUCGACCUGAGAGCAGACAACCAGCGUCUUAAAGAUGAAAAUGGAGCACUGAUCCGUGUCAUCAGCAAACUCUCCAAAUAGAUGGGGAGAGAGAGACACGAAGAGCAGGGAACUCCCCUCCCUUCCUCUAUCCCUCCAUCCAUCCCUCCCUGCCUCCCUCCUUCUCUCGCUGCUUCUACACAUUCCUCCCAGUGCCAAAGAGUGAGAGAGAAAGGGGAGAGAAGCAGCAGAAUGUCCUAUGUACAUGAACACCACAGCUUGACUUGGAUUGUGAUGCCUUUCUGUGAACAGCUGAAGUGGCUUUUGUGUGCCUUGCUGCCCAUUUGUCACAGGAAGACCUAUGGCAUGAAGGCCUGUGGCUAUGUUGAGAGGCUCCCACAGUAGCAACAUGAGACUCGACAACAGCCAGAAAGCCUACGGCUGGCGCAACACACAAAACAUCUACGACGACUGUGCAUCAGGGGAACACUAACAUGCACACACAUUCCUAUGCGUGCAUCACAUAUUUCCUCCAUGCACAUUCCAUGAGCGCACAAGGCAGCUUGGGCCUUAAAGUUCCCACUUUAGUAUUUUUAUUUUUUUUGUGAACACACUCACGUCACACAUUUACAAAUUUACCCCACUCACAGUUCAAAUCUAACGUGUUGUCAAGCAGUGACCAAGAUUUUGGUGUAGUAAAAAACAGCUCUGAAACACAUUUCAGGCUUGUCUUUACAUUCAGCACGUACGUCCUGAUGACAGGGGGAAGUCCACGAAACUCUGUUGGGUUGUUUUGUUUCCACAUGCAAGUGUUUGAACCCACCUACCUCUCCACCUAUGCACUUCCCCACAUUUUUAUUUUUGUGACCACAGACACACUCCAUGCUCUUAAAAUGACCGCAGAACCAGGUCAGUCGACCACAGCACUUUACUCUCUGCAAAGCUAUAGAAGAUGUACGUUGACGCUUUGCCCGUCCUCCAGACAGACAAACUCAUUACGGAGCAGCACCCUCUCACUUAGUGAGUGGAGGGAGAAGUUACCCAUAGCUGAAGGUCAAAGGUCAUUGCACAAUUCCAGAAAUUGCUGUUCUGUCAAAGCCUAUUAUGCUAUGGAUGGUUAUUACCAUUGAUAAGAUUAUUUUCAUAGUUUUUCAUUGUCAAUUCCUCUCUUGCAAGGGAGCAUGGUUAUGUAUAUUAUAUGUGUAUAAAUAUUAGUCUUGAAUAAUACCCCCUUUUGAAGUAAAACUCCAUGUAGCCUUUCUUCACAUGUUGGUUUUCUAAUAUAUUGAAUGGAUGUCUGCACCCUAAUAAAAGUCUGUAGUGACUGCCUGGUUAUUA